CGGCACGGGUGAGUAACACGUAGGUAAUGUGCCUUUGGGUGGGGAAUAACUUAGGGAAACUUAAGCUAAUACCGCAUAAUGCAGCGGCUCCUUCGGGAGACAGUUGUUAAAGAUUUAUCGCCUAAAGAGCAGCCUGCGGCAGAUUAGCUAGUUGGUAAGGUAACGGCUUACCAAGGCUACGAUCUGUAUCCGACCUGAGAGGGUGGUCGGACACACUGACACUGAAUAACGGGUCAG
This 237-nucleotide ribosomal RNA is filed under the name uncultured bacterium. RNAcentral's name for it is "partial 16S ribosomal RNA". It matches the Rfam family "Bacterial small subunit ribosomal RNA", at positions 100 to 334 of the family's 1533-position model. The record is from RNAcentral.